Molecule: long non-coding RNA, 787 nt
Organism: Juglans regia (Persian walnut)
Lineage: Eukaryota; Viridiplantae; Streptophyta; Magnoliopsida; Fagales; Juglandaceae
Exons: 2
Source: RefSeq, a predicted model, not a curated record
CUCCGCCUUCGAUUUCUUUCCCCCUUCCAAAACCUAUUCAUUUCCUCCUCCAGAUUUCUUCUUCCCCCCGAAAUCCCCUUCGUGGCCCAUCAUAGACCUAAUUCUUGAAACUUAUUCCAUCUUUCACCAUCGAAGUUGACCCACGAAAUCGACGUAAGUGGUCCUCAAGCACGACGUCUGUAGAAUCAUUAGUCUUUAUCAAGCAUGGCAACCAAGCACGAUUCCUCUUCCUCAAGCACGAUUUGUCUUCCUCAAGCACUAUUCCCCCUGCUCCCACGAAAGCCCCACCUACCCACUCGAAACUGUAGUCCAUUCGAAGUCAAAACCCUAACCAUUAUCCUACCAGUGGCGUAAUCCCUUGGGGUAAUUUGUCCAAAAUCUAACCCUAACCCUAACCCUAGCAUCAAAUACAAUGAGCUGUUAAGGAGCCAGAAAGAGCUCGAGAUGAAACUCGAACACAUCAAGAGGAGGGAGAUUGAGCUUUGUAAGAGAUCGGAUGAGAUCGAGAAGAGAGAGUUGGGGCUUCUAGAGUAAGAAGUUGAAAUAUUGCGUUCAUGCAGAUUACUUCAGCUAUAUUGGGCUUUUGUAGUUGUUGUGUCAUGUUAUGUAAUAGUACGUAGGUGAUUUUGGAACUUGGUAUAUUUUGUAAAAUUUGUAGGCUUAUGUUAGACUAAUUAGUCGGUGCUUACCAAAGUUCACCAACGAAUUUUGUGAAAUUUGUACUUAGCUUAAGUUUCUGAAGUGAUUUGGGAUUCAGUUUUGUAUAAAUGAAUGAUUAGUUUAACUU